GGUGUUAUAGCUCAGUGGUAGAGCACCUGCCUUGCACAUGUAGGGUACUAUGUUCAAUCCUCAGCACCA
RNAcentral lists this transfer RNA (69 nucleotides) under Ictidomys tridecemlineatus (thirteen-lined ground squirrel). Its description in RNAcentral is "Spermophilus tridecemlineatus (thirteen-lined ground squirrel) tRNA". It matches the Rfam family "tRNA". From Rfam's summary of the family: Transfer RNA (tRNA) molecules are approximately 80 nucleotides in length. Their secondary structure includes four short double-helical elements and three loops (D, anti-codon, and T loops). Further hydrogen bonds mediate the characteristic L-shaped molecular structure. tRNAs have two regions of fundamental functional importance: the anti-codon, which is responsible for specific mRNA codon recognition, and the 3' end, to which the tRNAs corresponding amino acid is attached (by aminoacyl-tRNA synthetases). tRNAs cope with the degeneracy of the genetic code in two manners: having more than one tRNA (with a specific anti-codon) for a particular amino acid; and 'wobble' base-pairing, i.e. permitting non-standard base-pairing at the 3rd anti-codon position. Lineage: Eukaryota; Metazoa; Chordata; Mammalia; Rodentia; Sciuridae. The record is from Rfam by way of RNAcentral.